CAGAAUACCAGCAAGAGUAAAUUACAUACACGCGUAGAAAGCCGAGGCAGCUGAAGAUGGAAUUAAGCACGUUCUAUCUAUACUUUUGGUGAUGUCCUUUCACUUUUAUUUGUUUGAUUUCAACAACAUGUUAGGCUAAUUCACAUUCGUAUUUUUCAUAGAUAUAUAGGAAAAUCACGUGUAGGAUUAAAUUUAAUUGCUAUCGAGAGAAGCUUUUAAAUAAAACAUGAACAUUGACCGACAAGAAUGAUUUCUAAUUGUCAAUUUAAAUUGUUGAAUUACAAAUUGAGUAGCAGGGGGGAUUCCACAUCCUAGCAAUACUUCUCGCAAUUUUGAUAAACUUUUACUUUGUUUUCUAUUUAAUUGAUAGAUUUAAUAGUGUUAGUUACAACUCGACAUUGCUAUUCGAUUAAGGGAAUUAUUAGCUUUAACUCGAUCAAAUACAUAAUUCUCGUGGGUUCGACACUCUACAUACCACUUUAUUACUUGUUCACGAUUCCGUUCACUUGCGGGUAAUCAAUCAACCACUAACUUUAUUGGAGUAAAUGUUGGAGUGACUUUUGAAAUUGAGUAAAGACAAAAUAAGUGCAUGAGUUUUCCAACAUAUCCAAUUUCAAGCCGCGAGCACCUAUUGCUGAAAAUCACAAGCGAAAGCUUUGCGGCACCUCAUACAUUUUUUUUACUCUUGCAUGUUUUGGAUUCUCAUUUUAUUGGUAAGACACUAUUUGCAGUUCUAUAAUUCCAGUCUCCCUGGAAAUUUUGACAAUAAAAAUAUAUAAUUUAAUGAUUCGAAUACUUUCAGUUCAAGAACUUUGUUAUUGAAAAAAUGAUUUGAGGCAAACCACCUUGUUUAUCAACUGCACAGUUAGUGAAAGUGCAAGUCAAAGAAGUAAUUCCAAGUUUUCACAUUGCUUCAAUACAUGGAAAUUACUGAGAUACUGUCCAACGAGAUAAAUUGAAUUCUUACAAUUGUCAUUAUUGUCCUAAAGCAUAAAUCUCUUCAUAAGCCUUGCAUAGCCCUAGAAAAAGGGGUGGAGGAUUAUAAAUUUUGAAAAUCGUAAUGUUUCACCUAUAGCUUUAGCUUUAGGGAUCUCCUUCUACUCGCAGUUUAUGAUGCACAAUAAUGCAUUCUUCCAUGGCGGGCAUAGGGAUGGGAUAGGUGCGGUGUGGUUGGAAAAAGAUGGUGGUCGAUAAAGAUGAUGGAUCUAUUUUAUUUUUGUAUUUUUGUUCAUUUUUGUAUUUUCUUUAUUUAAUUGUUUUAACUCAAACUAAGCGUAAAUUGUUCGUUUUAUUCAAAAUUUACAUUUUAACGCAAGGCCGGCCCUGAGAAUUUAGAGGCCCUAGGCAUUUAAUUAUUACGGGGCCCUUCAACAUAAUAUUUAUUUUACAAGUGCAAUAAUAUGUAAAUAUUUAGAUAAUUAAUAAUUUUAUAUUAUAAAGAAAACUUUGUAAAAUUGAAAAGAUAGAACAGCAAAAUAAAACUUCUCUUAGAGAUUAUAAAUUAUUCAAAUCUCUCUACUGCUGAUUAAACUUUUACAUAAUGUAAUUCAUUAAAAUAUCAUAACAGACGAAACUUUUAACUUCAAGCCUCUCUGGAACUGAAUUGUUGAAGGGUUACAAGUUUGGCUUUUAGUAUAAUAAAUCUAACUCAUUUUGGAGUGAAUCUGGCUGAUUUUGAGCAUGUCCGGUUCUUAAGUUACUUUCACGGGAUCUAUUUUUCAGUUUUUUGCUGAUAAUUGGACCGAUUUUAAGUUUUCAAGUUGAACUAGCGGAUCAAGUCCAACUUCGAUAACACUAGUUCAAACAAGAGUUUACAAGGCAUAAUGAGACAUUUUCAUGAGUCAAAGAUCUUAAUAAUGUAAUUUUCCCUUUUAUCUAUGUACUCCUCAUCUAAGCAAAGACAAAUAUGGGAAUGUAAUAUUUGAUUCAGAGACCCAAAGUGACAAAAAAAAACGUCAUUCAUUUCAUUCUAUCAGGCAGCAAUAUGGAAAAACAUAAACAAGUUUGAAAUAGGCGAGGCCGUGGGUGCACAGUAAUAUGAAUACCUUGUUAAGGAAUAGUGUUAGGAGAAGGGGUUUAAGAGGAAGCGUUUCGUAUAAUUUCUAGCAGCAGAUGGAUAUCAGACUUCAAAUGAGCAACCGACAACGCCGUAACAGCCAUAAGAAGAAGACAAAGAGGCCGAACCUGUAGUUGGGUAAUCGGAUUUCUCGCUGGAAGUUUUGCUGGUGCACUAGUAGGUUUUACUUUUUAGGGAUUGGUAUUCUUUGUUUUCCUUUUCGAUUUGUGGUUUUGGAUUUGGCCAGUUUUAGCCUUCUUUUUUUUUUAGAGGCCCCAUCAAAAACUGGGGCCCAAGGCAGUGGCCUUGUUUGCCUUGGGCCAAGGCUGACUCUGUUUUAACAGUUGAUCAGGUAUUUUUUCGUACAAAAUGUAAAGCAGAAGUCUGAAAGGUUUGGUACUUUGGGUGUUAGAAAU
This 2472-nucleotide long non-coding RNA is filed under the name Olea europaea subsp. europaea. Lineage: Eukaryota; Viridiplantae; Streptophyta; Magnoliopsida; Lamiales; Oleaceae. The record is from RNAcentral.